UAUUGGUCAAUGGGCGAGAGCCUGAACCAGCCAAGUAGCGUGAAGGAUGACAGCCCUAUGGGUUUUAAACUUCUUUCAUAAGGGAAUAAAGUGCCCCACGUGUGGGGUUUUGUAUGUACCUUAUGAAUAAGCAUCGGCUAAUUCCGUGCCAGCAGCCGCGGUAAUACGGAAGAUGCGAGCGUUAUCCGGAUUUAUAGCGUUUAAAGGGAGCGUAGGCGGUUCCAUAAGUCAGCGGUAAAAUCGGGCGGCUCAACCGUACCGUGCCGUUGAAACUGUGGGACUUGAGUAUGCGCAGGGUACAUGGAAUUCGUGGUGUAGCGGUGAAAUGCUUAGAUAUCACGAAGAACUCCAAUCGCGAAGGCAUUGUACCGGAGCAAGACUGACGCUGAGGCUCGAAAGUGCGGGUAUCAAACAGG
This 416-nucleotide ribosomal RNA is filed under the name uncultured bacterium. RNAcentral describes it as "bacterial SSU rRNA". It matches the Rfam family "Bacterial small subunit ribosomal RNA", at positions 362 to 776 of the family's 1533-position model. The record is from RNAcentral.